UAAUAGUUACGUAGGUUUGGACUUAGAUACUACAAAAAAUAAGCUGGACUUUAUUCUGUAUUUACUCUAUACAAAAAUAUUUCAACAAUUUCAUAUCAGUAGCUCAUUUUCUUACAAUAAUCUCAAAUUUAGAAAGAAAUAACCAUGAAUAUUCGUAGAAAAUGCUUUAAGCGCGAUUUAAUACAUCAUUGUGAUUGUGUACACGUUCGCGUGGCAUAAUUACGAUUUUAAAAAUAAAAUCAGAGUACGCGUUCGCGCAAAUUUGAUUAAACGUUCUAAAGCAUUAUUAAUUGUGAACACGUACGCGUGACAGGAUUUUUGACACGCCAAAUAAAUGGGUACACGUACGCGUGACCCGUUUCAAGAUAAUUUCUUAAUUAAAAGAGGCAAAUGCACAUAAGUUCUAAAAUGAGUAAUUAGACAAUUUGAUUAAGCCAAGUAUGAUCAAAGGUACCCGGGAAUGCCUAACACCUUCUUCCGGGUUAGCAGAAUUUCUUACCCGGAUUUCUGUGUUCGUAGACCAUAAAUAAGAGUCAAACUUCCUCGAUUCGGGGUUUUAAACCAGUGACUUGGGACACCAUAAAUUAUUCCAACUAACGACUCUGAAUUUGAAUAAAAAAUCCCGUUUUGAUUUUAGUCACUUUAAUUGGAAAAACUCCCUUAAUACCCAUCUCGAGAUAGUAAAAGGAGGUGUGACAGCUCUGGCGACUAUGCUGGGGACAAGAACCCAUAAUCUCUGGUUCAGGGUUCAAGAAUUCGAGCUCUUUAGUAUGAUUUUAUUUGGCUUUGUUUAUUGUUAAUAUUACUGUAUUUUUGCGAACUUAAUGUGCUAAUUGUUGUUUAUUUACCAUUUCGAUAUUGUUUGAAUCGUAUAUAACUGUCUUCUUACGCCACCCCUCUGAGUCUCCUGAAAAUGGGGCACACGUUCGCGUGGCCCGCUUUUUCUGUAGAAGUAAUACCAAAUAAAAUAAGGUUGGGCCAGCAACAAGGCCGAGUAGACUUUAGUGCUCCCAGCACGUUGCCCCCUUUUCGGCUCGAGUUGUCCACUCGGGUAAGCCAGGUCAAGAACACAACCCCAAGUUUAAACUUAGAAUAACAUAACCUCAUGCCGGAUCCCUAGUCGGAACGUUUGUUUGCAUCACGUGCAUUUGAAUUUGGGGACUCAACACAGGGGUUGGGUCCAUCUAGGACAGGUGUACCCGAAAAAAUAAAAGACCAUCCUGAUGCAUCCUAUGUGCUAAAUGUUCCAUUUUUCAAGGGUAAAAAAAGGUCAUUUAGCGGACCAAUGAUAGUGGAGAGUAAAUGAGAAAAAAGAGGGUGAAGUAUGAAAAUAAACCAAGUAGGGCCCAGUCAUAUUUUCUUUCAAAACUUUUUUAAGAAAAGACAAAAAAUGAAAAAUCCAAAAAAAAAUUUGCACUUUCCCAUCAUUUUCCGGAAAAAAAAUAUUAAAAAAAGAGGAAAAAGAAAAUCCAAAAAGAGUUUACAUGUUUCAUCAUUUUUCAAAACAAAGACAAACAAAAUAUAUUCUCUAAAUUAGUUAUUUUUUUUAAUUCUCGCCCGUAUCCGAUUUUUUCGAACUACGCGAAUCUGAUUCUGGUCUCUCGGGGAGGGAUACGUAGGCAACUCACAUAGGGUCCGGUCUUCUUAGUGAGUCUUAGGUUCUUUGCUUCGAGGAUCGUAGCCAAAUAUUGCAUCUCUAUCCACUUUUGGCUACAUUGGCCGUUUUUGCAAAAUAUGACUAUUUUCGCAAAGUGGUUUGUUUAAUUGUCUAAUGAGUCUUGAAUCCACAAUUAGGUGUCUCUUUACUUUAAGUCCCAUCCUUAUCGAAUUUGCAUGUCUAGCCGCUUUUGGCCAUAUCGGCCGUUCUUGCAAAAUGGGAUCAUUUUCGCAAAAGUGGUUCAGUGACCCAUGUUUUUGAGUUAUAUGUCCAUAAUAAGAUGCUCUCUCUGUUUAAGGUCCAUUGUGUUGAAUUUGCAUGUUUGCCAUUUUUGUCCACAUAGACCAUUUCUAUAAAAUUGGUCAUUUCUGCAAAGUAAUUUUCCAUAUCUAAGAGGUCACUUUUGUCAAGUUUGCACUUCUAGCCACCUUUUUGCCACAUAAGCCCUUUUGCAAAAUAGCCUCAAUCAUGUCCUGCAUGUGUCCAGUAGGGAGUGUUAUUGUCUCAUAUAGUGUUCUAAAUCUUUAACUCCAUUUGGUUUUAGUUUUCUCAUAGAGGUGUGGAUCUACUCACCGGAUUAUGAGCAUGACAGACAUCCGGGGGGCAUCUGGUCAGGACUAUUGCAUCCAGGAGUUGUUUAAGGAGAUUUUUUAUGUUUUGAGUCUGUUUCUUUUUAUGUUGUCUUGUACUUUAUAGUCAUGUCCAGUAGUAAUGAUUCUUUUAGUUGGUGUUGGAGUUUGUCGUAGUAUAGUUGAGUUGAGUCUCUCGUUAUCAUAUUUCCUGUUUUGUAUUCGAAAAUAAAAAAAGGUUGUAAUGAGUAAUCAAAAAAGGUUUUUAUUUUUAGUUUAAUUUAUCCGUUACUUUUUUCGAACUAUGCAAAGAUCUGAUUCAUGCGUGAUUUUAAAUUGGUGACUUGGGACAUCAUAAAUUAUCCCAAGUGGCGACUCUGAAUUUGAAUAAAAAAUCUUAUUUUGAUUUUAGUCACUUUAAUUGGAAAAACUCCCUUAAUACCCAUCUCGAGGUAGUAAAAGGAGGUGUAACAGCUCUGGCGACCCUACUGGGGACAAGAACCCAGAAUCCUGGUUCAUGGUUCAAGAAUUCGAGCUUUUUAGUAUGAUUUUAUUUGGCUUUGUUUAUUGUUAAUAUUACUGUAUUUUUGUGAACCUAAUGUGUUAAUUGCUGUUUAUUUACCAUUUCGAUAUUGUUUGAAUUGUAUAUAACUAUCUUCUUACGUCACCCUUUUGAGUCUCCUGAAAAUGAUGCACAUGUUCGCGUGGCCCGCUUUUUCUGUAGAAGACAUACCAAAUAGAACGAGGCUGGGCCAACAACAAGACCGGGUAGAAUUUAGUGCUCCCAGUACGGUGCCCCCUCUUCGGUUCGAGUUGUCCACUCGGAUAAGCCAGGUCAAGAACACAACCCCAGGUUUAAAAUUAGAAUAACAUAACCUUAUGUCGGAUCCCUAAUAGGAACGUUUGUUUGCAUCACGUGCAUUUGACUUUGGGGACUCAACACAGGGGUUGGGUCCGUCUAGGACAGGUGUACCCGAAAAAAUAAAAGACCAUCCUGA
This 3224-nucleotide long non-coding RNA is filed under the name Nicotiana tabacum (common tobacco). RNAcentral describes it as "long non-coding RNA (NTAB_LNC003781)". The record is from RNAcentral. Lineage: Eukaryota; Viridiplantae; Streptophyta; Magnoliopsida; Solanales; Solanaceae.